Molecule: ribosomal RNA, 513 nt
Filed under: uncultured bacterium
Lineage: Bacteria
Description: partial 16S ribosomal RNA
Rfam family: Bacterial small subunit ribosomal RNA
Source: RNAcentral
GAUGAACGCUGGCGGCGUGCCUAAUACAUGCAAGUCGAGCGAACAGAUAAGGAGCUUGCUCCUUUGACGUUAGCGGCGGACGGGUGAGUAACACGUGGGUAACCUACCUAUAAGACUGGAAUAACUCCGGGAAACCGGGGCUAAUGCCGGAUAACAUUUAGAACCGCAUGGUUCUAAAGUGAAAGAUGGUUUUGCUAUCACUUAUAGAUGGACCCGCGCCGUAUUAGUUAGUUGGUAAGGUAAUGGCUUACCAAGGCAACGAUACGUAGCCGACCUGAGAGGGUGGUCGGCCACACUGGAACUGAGACACGGUCCAGACUCCUACGGGAGGCAGCAGUAGGGAAUCUUCCGCAAUGGGCGAAAGCCUGACGGAGCAACGCCGCGUGAGUGAUGAAGGGUUUCGGCUCGUAAAACUCUGUUAUUAGGGAAGAACAAACGUGUAAGUAACUGUGCACGUCUUGACGGUACCUAAUCAGAAAGCCACGGCUAACUACGUGCCAGCCGCCGCAGUAA